RNAcentral lists this ribosomal RNA (460 nucleotides) under uncultured bacterium. RNAcentral describes it as "partial 16S ribosomal RNA". It matches the Rfam family "Bacterial small subunit ribosomal RNA", at positions 338 to 795 of the family's 1533-position model. The record is from RNAcentral.
CCUACGGGGGGCAGCAGUGAGGAAUAUUGGUCAAUGGCCGAGAGGCUGAACCAGCCAAGUCGCGUGAGGGAAGACGGCCCUACGGGUUGUAAACCUCUUUUGUCGGGGAGCAAAGCGCACCACGUGUGGUUCCUUGCGAGUACCCGACGAACAAGCAUCGGCUAACUCCGUGCCAGCAGCCGCGGUAAUACGGAGGGGGCAAGCGUUAUCCGGAUUUACUGGGUGUAAAGGGAGCGUAGACGGGAGGGCAAGUCUGAAGGGAAAGGCAAGGGCUCAACCUUUGGACUGCUUUGGAAACGGUGCUGCUGGAGUGUCGGAGAGGGAAGUGGAAUUCCUAGUGUAGCGGUGAAAUGCGUAGAUAUUAGGAGGAACACCAGUGGCGAAGGCGGCGUGCUGGACGAUGACUGACGUUGAGGCUCGAAAGCGUGGGGAGCAAACAGGAUUAGAUACCCUUGUAGUC